CCCCCCCCCCCCCCCAAUCUUUUGAACCGGGUCACAAGGCCGAGAAGUUGCGCGCGCAGAAGGGGGGGGGGAAUGAUGUCAGGUCACAACAUUAAAGAAACGGUAACCAGGUUUUGCUUUCUGAUUUCUUUUAUGCUUACAUCGCUUUGUUUCUGGUACAUCAUGCAUAAUAGCAGAUUUGCAUGGUACUGAAAUAGUUAAGUGAAAACUUGCAUAGUACGACACUGCUUGAUCUACACAUAGGUUCAAUGAUGAAGACGAGCAAUAGUUGUAGCCUAUAGCGCAACAUCACGAGAUAGGAGAACCCCUCGGUUACAGUUAGACAGCUAAGAACCUAAUAUUGUACAAGGCCACACUGAUUUCUCCCUUACCUAGAGGAAGAAUGCCUAUCAGAACAGAUCAUCAUAAGCGACUAUUUCUCGUGCUUUGUGGAUCACUUGUGAAGCUAUUCUGGAGCUUGGGGUGGCCAAAGCAUCACUCGUGAUAUUGUUACUCGCAUCUGCUGGGACUGAUGGAACUACACUUGUCGGAUUAUUUGGCACCUCACUUGCCUGUACAACUAAAACCUGUAUCGAACAAAAGAAACAUCAAUCUGAGUACGAAAAGUUGGCAAAUAAAGUGCAAUCAAGACACAGUAUACAUCUGAAACCCACAACCCUAUGCUUCAUAUGAAUUGAGCAACAAUCUCAUCGACAUCAAUAGAGCCUAUACUGAAAAAGGCUUUCCCCUGCUUUAUAGAUAAAGCCACAACGGUGAUACAAAAUUCGAGCAGCCCCAAGCAAAAGAAAACAAAUAAAGUUUACACUGGGGGCAACGGCACAACAAGCCCACAAAAAGUCUCAGGGAGGAUAGGUAGCUCAUAUAUAUCUGAGAUAUAAAUGCUUAAUUCGGUUCUGUAUUAAUUUUUACAAGUCCUGGCAUUUUAAUCAGUUAUUGUUACUGCUAUGAAGCACAGCAUAUGAAAUAGUCGAUCCAACUUUGCAGAGGUAGAUGAGCAUGCACAUUGAUUAUAUUAAGAAAAUCUAGAAUGCUUGGGUAAAUAAAAUAAAAAAUCAAACUACAAGUGAAUGAUAAAAGUGAACAACCAGAUUGGGUUUCACAUGUUGGAACUGAGCUAAAACCUGCCAAAUAAUAUGAACCUAAAAGGGCGAAUUGGCUACCAAUGCCUGGUCUGGCCUAGGCUUGUAAGAAGCAUCAGUGAAAUUCGCGGAUUCACCAUCAAAUAGCUGGUUUGCUUUAACAAAUUCAGCUGUUUUGGUAUACAAGUAAUAAACCUAGUAAAGAAGGCUCGAACCUUUACCGGAUCUUGCUAGAUGUACAGCAAGCAACAUUGGCCGAAUCUUAGCACAUUUUUUUUGGGCUCCCCUGAUACUGAAUCCAGCAACUCCGACAUCACGCUUCAGUAAACGUAGAUCUUUACCUUCUUGGAUCCGAUGGUAAUGCCGCACUCGGGGUCGAGGGAAGCAGCAAUGGCGGCCAUGGCAGCGGCAGCGGAGCGGAAGGUGACGUGUCCGGUGGCUGCGGCGGCGUCUAUGCGAGUGCGCGCGACGGGGCCGUACGCCUCCAGGCGCGACUUUAGCUCUAUCACUCCGCACCCGGGCGGCAGCCCGGCGACCAUCACUAAGGACGGCUGCGGAGCCGCAGCCGGCGCCGGAACCGGAGCUGGAGCGGCCUCCAGCUCGCCGGGCAUCGACUCCAGCGAGCCACGGCGGCGCUUCGCCGGCGGGUCCGGGCUCGUGCGCCCUCGCUUGCCUCUGCGGCGCGAGCGUCGAUUCAUGACUCCAGAUUGAGGGUGAUUGCCGUUUGAGAGUUCAGACUUCCGUUGGUUUUGUGGCGAGGGGCAAUUUGAGAAACAGAAAUGUUACGCUUACAUAAGUUUACACGGGGUUUUACACAGAUCGAUUUUAAUUAGAGGUUAAGAGGGAUGAGGCCUCACCUUUUGAAAAUCAGGUGAAGGUUAGUUAGGAAGAAAGAAAACUAGUCAGCGUGUAACCAUGUGUAACUCUUUGUACGUUUAACAUUUUUGUUUAAGAAAAUGUCACACCUUUCAUGGGACUUUGUUUCCAUAGCACAUAUUUUUUUAUUGGAUUAUAUAUCACACGUUUGAAUGGUAGUUGUAUAAAAUAGUACAAACUGAUUUUUUUCCUACUUUUCUACGUCUAGGACCCUACCUCAUAUUUGUUAGGACGAAUUUGCCCCAGGUCGUUUCCUGAUCAUAUGAGACGAUCACAUAACGAAGCACCGCGUCGGCUUGCCGCACCUCAUCCCGGCGCCGCCCCUCGGCAUGCUAGCUCCCCGGCAAGCCGGGUUAUUAUCGGGCUAGCUACGCACACCCGUACAUAUGCAGCGC
This 2350-nucleotide long non-coding RNA is filed under the name Hordeum vulgare. RNAcentral's name for it is "long non-coding RNA (HVUL_LNC007766)". Lineage: Eukaryota; Viridiplantae; Streptophyta; Magnoliopsida; Poales; Poaceae. The record is from RNAcentral.